UUAGUUCAGUCGGUAGAACGGUGGACUGUUAAUCCAUAUGUCGCAGGUUCGAGUCCCGCA
RNAcentral lists this transfer RNA (60 nucleotides) under Haemophilus influenzae. It matches the Rfam family "tRNA", at positions 7 to 64 of the family's 71-position model. Rfam says of the family: Transfer RNA (tRNA) molecules are approximately 80 nucleotides in length. Their secondary structure includes four short double-helical elements and three loops (D, anti-codon, and T loops). The record is from RNAcentral. Lineage: Bacteria; Pseudomonadati; Pseudomonadota; Gammaproteobacteria; Pasteurellales; Pasteurellaceae. RNAcentral also lists the same sequence under 13 other names.